Molecule: ribosomal RNA, 395 nt
Filed under: uncultured Bicosoecida
Lineage: Eukaryota; Bigyra; Bicosoecida
Description: partial small subunit ribosomal RNA
Rfam family: Eukaryotic small subunit ribosomal RNA
Source: RNAcentral
GCUUGUCUCAAAGAUUAAGCCAUGCAUGUCUAAGUGUAAAUAAGUCUAUACUGUGAAACUGCGAAUGGCUCAUUAAAUCAGUUAUCGUUUAUUUGAUGAUCUCUUACUACUUGGAUAACCGUAGUAAUUCUAGAGCUAAUACAUGUCUUACGGCCCGACUCUUUGGAAGGGCUGCAUUUAUUAGAUCCAACCGACCCCUCACGGGUUCCUGGUGAAUCAUAAUAACUGAGCGAACCGCAUGCGUAAGCGGCGGUGGUUCAUUCAAGAUUCUGCCCUAUCAGCUUUCGAUGGUAGGGUAUUGGCCUACCAUGGCGUUAACGGGUAACGGAGAAUUAGGGUUCGAUUCCGGAGAGGGAGCCUGAGAGAUGGCUACCACAUCCAAGGAAGGCAGCAGG